AGUAAAGUCAGCUAACAAAGCUAUCGGGCCCAUACCCCGAAAAUGUCGGUUCAAAUCCCUCCUAUACUA
Molecule: transfer RNA, 69 nt
Filed under: Stenocercus humeralis
Lineage: Eukaryota; Metazoa; Chordata; Lepidosauria; Squamata; Tropiduridae
Description: tRNA-Met
Rfam family: tRNA
About the family: Transfer RNA (tRNA) molecules are approximately 80 nucleotides in length. Their secondary structure includes four short double-helical elements and three loops (D, anti-codon, and T loops). Further hydrogen bonds mediate the characteristic L-shaped molecular structure. tRNAs have two regions of fundamental functional importance: the anti-codon, which is responsible for specific mRNA codon recognition, and the 3' end, to which the tRNAs corresponding amino acid is attached (by aminoacyl-tRNA synthetases). tRNAs cope with the degeneracy of the genetic code in two manners: having more than one tRNA (with a specific anti-codon) for a particular amino acid; and 'wobble' base-pairing, i.e. permitting non-standard base-pairing at the 3rd anti-codon position.
Source: RNAcentral